GAUGAACGCUAGCGGGAGGCUUAACACAUGCAAGUCGAGGGGCAGCAUAGGGUAGCAAUACUCUGAUGGCGACCGGCAAACGGGUGAGUAACGCGUAUGCAACCUACCCUGUACAGGGGGAUAACCCGGAGAAAUUCGGACUAAUAUCCCGUAAUAAUAUCCGGAGGCAUCUUUGGAUAUUUAAAGUUCCGACGGUACGGGAUGGGCAUGCGUAACAUUAGCUGGUUGGUAAGGUAACGGCUUACCAAGGCUAUGAUGUUUAGGGGUCCUGAGAGGGUGGUCCCCCACACUGGUACUGAGACACGGACCAGACUCCUACGGGAGGCAGCAGUGAGGAAUAUUGGUCAAUGGGCGCAAGCCUGAACCAGCCAUCCCGCGUGCAGGAGACGGCCCUAUGGGUUGUAAACUGCUUUUCCAGGGAGAGAAACUUACGCACGUGUUGCGUGACUGACGGUACCCUGGGAAUAAGCAUCGGCUAACUCCGUG
This 486-nucleotide ribosomal RNA is filed under the name uncultured bacterium. RNAcentral describes it as "bacterial SSU rRNA". It matches the Rfam family "Bacterial small subunit ribosomal RNA", at positions 28 to 507 of the family's 1533-position model. The record is from RNAcentral.